Molecule: transfer RNA, 73 nt
Filed under: Thecadactylus solimoensis
Lineage: Eukaryota; Metazoa; Chordata; Lepidosauria; Squamata; Phyllodactylidae
Description: tRNA-Trp
Source: RNAcentral
AGAAAUUUAGGUUAUACAUCAAACCAGGGACCUUCAAAGUCCCAAAUAGGGACCACCCCACCCCUAAUUUCUG